Molecule: ribosomal RNA, 516 nt
Filed under: Ceratitis caetrata
Lineage: Eukaryota; Metazoa; Arthropoda; Insecta; Diptera; Tephritidae
Description: partial 16S ribosomal RNA
Rfam family: Bacterial large subunit ribosomal RNA (bases 392-516)
Source: RNAcentral
GUCUUUUUGAGUUAUUUUUAAAGUCUGACCUGCCCACUGAAUAAUUUUUAAAUGGCCGCAGUAUCCUAACUGUGCAAAGGUAGCAUAAUCAUUAGUCUUUUAAUUGAAGGCUGGUAUGAACGGUUGGACGAAGUAUAAGCUGUUUCAUAUAAAAUUAUUUUAGAAUUUUAUAUUUUAGUUAAAAAGCUAAAAUUUUAUUAAAAGACGAGAAGACCCUAUAAAUCUUUAUAUUUAUAAUUAUUCAAAUUUUUUGGAUUAAUUUUAUUUUUAUAAUUGUAAAUAUUUUGUUGGGGUGAUGUUAAAAUUUAAUGAACUUUUAAUUAUUUAUUAAAUCAUUAAUUUAUGAGUAAUUGAUCCAUUAUUAGUGAUUAUAAGAUUAAGUUACUUUAGGGAUAACAGCGUAAUUUUUUUUGAGAGUUCAUAUCGACAAAAAAGUUUGCGACCUCGAUGUUGGAUUAAGAUACAUAUUUAGGUGUAGCCGCUUAAACAUAAAGUCUGUUCGACUUUUAAAUUCUU